UUGGAGCCAAGUAAGCGAGGUAACCAGAGGAUGCAAGACUGCUGGACUCAAAAUGUGCUGGAAGUGACUAACAGCCAUCAUUCCCAUUUCCUGCGGAUCAUCAACAACAGUGCCUGCUAUAGUAGAGAAAGACCUGAUUGCAUUGAAUGCAUUCCUAAUACAUGUCAUCCGAUGGAAGUCCCAUUUGGAGUGCAAAUCUUGCUCCUGCUGGAAAAGAGUUGUAGUUGGAUUCGCCAAGGCUUGUACCUGCACAACUUGAAGCAAACGGGUUGACAAACAUGUUUCCAGGGGACAUAAAUUUCCAGCCAAAAUCCAAGCAGUUUCGAUCGUUUCUAGGAAGCGAGGGUGGGAGGUGAGGAAAUUGAAGAAUUUAAAAGGCUUUGUGCCAGCUUGCGGAAGCGCUGUAUCAAGGUCUAUAAGACAAGGGGAGUGGUCAGAAAGUUCAGGGGCCAAGAAGGAGGCUACGCUGUUCGGGUACGAGGUAAGCCAGACAUUGUUAACAAGGGCUCUAUCCAGUUUUUUACAAAUAGGGUUGGCAGGACUUUUGUUUGACCAGGUAAAUAGAGAUCCUUGGUAACGCA
Camelina sativa (false flax) is the source of this 581-nucleotide non-coding RNA. NCBI's taxonomy places the organism in Eukaryota, Viridiplantae, Streptophyta, Magnoliopsida, Brassicales, Brassicaceae. The record is from RefSeq and is a predicted model, not a curated record.